AAGUAUUGUUUUUAAAGGGACAGAAUAAUUUCAUGGGCGAGGGCUUUGGACAGAGAGCCAAGCAGAAAAUAGCAAAGGCCCGUUGGCAGGGAGCCUAUAGGACGUGGAAAGGAGAAGGAAGGCAAUCAGAACAGCCUUGUCGACAUUCAGAAAGCAGGAUCUGGUGGACAGAUAUAUCUUCGUCACACUGUGGGAUUUCAACGCAGAUAGUUUGACGUCGAUUUCACUGAAGAUCUGGAGAUCCAGUCUGUUGUCUAAAACGCAAACUCUUCCUCCUCCAGCUAUGAUGGGAGUGUUAGUUCACUGACUGCCCUUGUCAUUGUCAUCGUUAUAUGUGUUUGUUGUGGGGGAGGAACAGAAAGAAAGGCCUGCACUCCCUCAUUCCAUGCAAAUAACCUUUCAACUCCUCACAGUCUUGAAGCAACAACAAGAACAACUCUAGAGCUCCGACAAAGAGGACGGAGAAACAGAGGAGGAGGAAAGGGCAGGAGUUCCUAGAAAGUAGGUUGUGUCUCUGGAAUGCCUGGCUCAGAAUGCAGCUGUUGAGCAGUCCACUCCUUUCAGGAGCCAAGGGGAGGCGUGAUUGGCCGCUGGCCUUAUCUGGGUGGAGCUGUAGGAGGGAUAUUACUUAUUCAUUGGCACGUUCUGCAAGGCCCCUCCCACCUCACUGACGCUCGGCCCUUGGCCCCUGUUAGCUGCCUGUGUAUUUGGGAAUGCUGUUGUUGCAUCAGAGGGGCAGUGUUGGAGAUGGCCAAACUCAGGGGCUAAGGUCAGGGUCAAGAUUCAAGGGUCAACACAACUCAGAAGCUGCAGGAGUGGAUGCAGAAGGACCUGGAGCCAAAGCUGC
Long non-coding RNA from Carassius carassius (crucian carp), 847 nucleotides. RefSeq lists it as uncharacterized. The record is from RefSeq and is a predicted model, not a curated record. NCBI's taxonomy places the organism in Eukaryota, Metazoa, Chordata, Actinopteri, Cypriniformes, Cyprinidae. The transcript has 4 exons.